RNAcentral lists this long non-coding RNA (6670 nucleotides) under Olea europaea subsp. europaea. Lineage: Eukaryota; Viridiplantae; Streptophyta; Magnoliopsida; Lamiales; Oleaceae. The record is from RNAcentral.
CGUCAUUGUCAUUCCUACCAUCUUCGAACCCAAACCUCUUUCACAUCACCUUGCCCUGAAUGAGACGGAUUAUUUCCCAUCUCAGCAAGUUAUUUGAGAUGGGAAUGGAAAACAUGGUCUCCGAGCCACUUAUAAAAUCUUCCAAGGCGGCAGAACGAGAAUGCUGCUGCUGCUGCCCGGCCCCACCUUGCCGCAAUAACUCACGAGCCUGAGGCCAAAUCUGUAAAUUCAACCAAGGGCAAAACUCUUACAAAACAUCAGCAUUUUGGCCCUUUUUACAACACCCAUCCAUUACGCUUCUCGAGGCUUAAAAAUCGUUUAAAUAAUCGCUCAAUACUUCAUUCAUAAAUUUUACUCACAUUUCACGCACAAAACUCUCUCGCAUAGUCGCAUACACACCUUAUCGAUUCUUCUGUUCUCCUCUCCAAUGGCGAUGAUACUUCGCAAUGGUUGUGCAGGUCGGAUAGUCAAAUCCGGAGCUAUUCGAUCCAUGUCCACUUCGUGGUGGAAGCACGUGGAGCCAGCUCCCAAGGAUCCGAUCCUUGGAGUCACCGAAGCUUUUCUUGCUGAUCCUAGUCCUGAUAAAGUCAAUGUUGGAGUUGUGAGUUAUAAGAGUUUUUCGUUUUUGCUAGCAAGUGGUAGAUUAUAAUUGAUUUUAAUCCACUUUGUUCAGUGAAAUUUGAAGUGAUUUGAAUUAAUUAAUCUUGUUUUACGAGCUCGGAUUUUGUAAUUUUUGUCUAUUAAAAAUAUGUAAAUUCAUUUUAUUUUUUUAUUUUUUUUGUGUAAAAGGGUGCAUAUCGUGAUGAUAAUGGAAAGCCGGUGGUACUGGAGUGCGUCAGGGAAGCGGAGCGGAGAAUCUCCGGUAAUGUGAACAUGUGAGUAUUCUUUUGUUUUCUACUUAUUUUUUAUUGUGAAAAAAAAAAUUAUUUCUUUGUAGUUCGUUCCCUUUCUUCUACUAAUUUACAGUUGGUAACCGCCAUCUGGAAUCACUUCUACUGUUGUGGAUAGAUAAAUUUCAUUUAUGGUCACCGAAGUUUUAGCAAAAUUUUAAUUAGGUAACUAAACUUUAAUUUGCCUCAGUGGAGUUGUCAGACUUCAAUUUAGUUUCAAAUUUCAUGACUUUGUCGCAUUCCUUCACUUGCUGUCCUCAAACCCUAUGGAAAUUGCUUGGUCGGCAGCCAAACCUUAAUCAUUUACCACUAUGCCACGUAAGGAAAGUUCGAAACUCAAGACUAUGCCUAACUAAAUAAUGUAUGUUUUGUAUUUCCAUGUAAUCGCUGCUUAGUUGGCACGGUGAUCGUUUCUUAUUUUGGCAUCCGCUACCAUGGGGCUGUCAACUAAGCAAUAUUAGUAAGUUCUGAGGAAGGAAGUUGAUGAAGUGGUGAACCUGAAAUUAAAUCGAGGAUCAAUUGACCCAUUGUGACAAACUAAAGUUGAGUUACUUAAUUGAGAUUUUACUAAAAGUUAAAUGAGAGUGAACGAAAUUUAACCGUCAUAUAUCGUAGUCAUAGGUAGAGAUGUAUUCAAUGUGUAUUAGGAAAAUGGACCUCUAUGUGGGUAUCUCUAUGCAUUCUGAUUGUAACUUGCAGCUGUAGUGGUGGUCCUAUGUUGUUAACUUUUGAUCCAAGAUCGUUUCCACUAGCCAUUUUGAUCCUUCCAGUUUUGUCAGUGUAUUAGAUUCCUGGAUGGUUUCUUUCUGCUUUUUCCCCCCCAAAGCAAGUAGCAUAUUUCAUCAGCAAACUCGUUAUAUCACACCUUUGUUCCAUCAGGAAAAAGUAACAAAGAAUUUGUUGUAGAUAAAUGAUUUGAAAAAUUAUUCUAUACAUAUAUCAAUUGUGUGCUUAAGUGUGGAUACUAAGUUAUAUUUGACAGAACUAGUCAAAGUUGAACGUGUAUUGCACGUUAUUCUAAAAUACUUUAUAAGUGACGUAAAAGUAAUAUUUAAUACCAAUUUGUAGGAGGAUUUGAUGAGUCUCGUAUGAAUUAAAGAAAAUAAAAUUUACCAUAGAAAUUUAAGAGAAUAAAAUUGUACUCAAAUUGUAUUCUCAAAACUCAAUUUCUAUGAUUCAAAUUUUUUGUAAUGAUGAUAUUAUAAAUAAGCAAUUUUUUUAUAUUACAUUUGGUACAUAAAAAAUUAAUUGUUAAUACAUAAAUUUAAACACUCAUUAAAAUUUUCAGAUACAUGAAUAUGAAUAAAUUCAUUUAUAAUAACUUUAUAUUCAUAUAAUUCAAGACUCAUCAAGUAAAAAUUCAUUGAAUUUAGAUUAAUGCGAAUGUUAAUUAAUUGAGAAUUAAUAACACAAAUUUCAUAAAUGACAAUAAUUUUGUAGUAUUUAUUACAUAUCGAAAAACGAAAAAUAAAGUAUCAUUGAAAUAAUUGAAUUGUAGGGGUUUAAAAUCGUCCAAAAAAUUAUUUUCCCUUGAUGUGAUAUUUUAAUAUAUUAUAGAUAUUUUCAAGAAACUAUUAAAAGUGAAAAUUAGAUCUGAUUUGACUUAUUUUGUUAAGACAUGAUCCAUCAUAAUACCAUGUCCAGUUUGAAGGUCUGAUGCAUAUAUAUUAGAGGUGCGAACUAGUUUGAUCAUAAGACUUUAGGGAAAUUUUUGUAGGUAAAUAAUGUGUAGAUCACUUGCAGUGUCAAACAAAUGUUUGCUUAUCAUGUGUUGGCAAUGAUGUCUUGCUCUGACUGUGAUAGCUGAUUUAUUUUCUUAGGGGAUCUCCAUGGACAAAUGACUCUUAGUUUCAGUGUUUAUCAUGUUAGCAUAGAUGAUAUUUUAUUGUCAUUUAAAGAAGACUGUCGGUAUCCAAUAAAAGAAAAUUAAAAAAUAAAUCAAGAUGUGGAAAAUUUGCAUGUCUAUGGGAAUAUUUGUGGUUACACUGCAAUCAGAAAUAGUUGCAUGAUGUAAAAUUUAAGAUAGACAAUUUACUCGAUGAAAAGGGAUAAACAGAGAUGGAAAUCUAAGUUGCUUUCAUCAUCUUUCCGUAUUUGGUAACAGUUUAAUGGUUUCCCAUAUGAGGCCUUCUCUUGAAAAGUUUCCAGGGGAAUAGGUUUUACUGCAAUAACUUUAGUUCAGGGAGAGAGCAUCAUUAGUUUCACUCUGUGAAGCUACGUCAUUUGUUUGUAACAUUGCUAUUUUUGAUGUUUUCCAUGUACAUAUUCUCUAGUUAUUCAUUAAAGCAAUGAAGCAAAUCAGACAGGUGCCGUUAACACAAUUUUCGUUCAAUUGUAAAUAGACUUAACAAGACUUGAUUUUCCAGGGAAUAUCUUCCCAUGGGGGGAAGUGUAAAUAUGGUCGAGGAGACUCUGAAGCUGGCGUAUGGGGAGAACUCUGACUUGAUCAAAGAGAAGCGGAUUGCAGGUGUACAGGCUCUCUCUGGGACUGGUGCAUGCCGGCUCUUUGCAGAUUUCCAAAAGCGUUUUUCCCCUGAUUCACAAAUCUACAUUCCAGUUCCCACCUGGGCGAAGUUAGUAUUGCUUUUCAAUCUGUCUCUUUCACGUCUGCUGUGUGCUUCAUGUUUUACUUUGUUAUAAACUGACAUUUUCGCAACGUUCUUCCAUUUGUCACGUGUCAUGAUUUUAUUUUUUUAUUGCAUGAAAGUACCGUUUCUGUCAAGUAUUCAUGAUUUUAUUGUGGGAUUUCAUCAGUCAUCACAACAUUUGGAGAGAUGCUCAUGUUCCUCAGAACACAUUCCAUUAUUAUCAUCCAGAGUCUCGGGGUUUGGACUUUGCUUCAAUGAUGGAGGACAUAAAGGUAAGAAAGCUCGAUGAUGACCUAAAUGUUUUUUUGAAUUGCAAGUAGCAAUAUUUUAUGCCUACUGUGUGAGUGUUCUUCUAAUUUUUAUUGGAACAGAAUGCACCAAAUGGGUCAUUCUUUUUGCUUCAUGCUUGUGCUCACAAUCCAACUGGAGUGGAUCCUACAGAAGAACAGUGGCGAGAGAUCUCUCAACAGUUCAAGGUUUGCCUUCUGUGAUGGAGAUGCCUGUUACUUUUUAAAUUAUUGUUCAAAGAAUAAUAGAGAUACAUAUUAUUUCAGGUCAAGGGGCACUUUGCCUUCUUCGAUAUGGCAUAUCAAGGGUUUGCUAGUGGUGAUCCGGAGAGGGAUGCAAAGUCUAUUAGAAUUUUUCUGGAGGAUGGCCAUUUAAUUGGAUGUGCCCAAUCAUAUGCAAAGAAUAUGGGACUUUAUGGCCAGAGAGUUGGUUGCCUGAGGUACUUGUAACUAUGUACUGAACACUUAACCAAGAAUCUUUGAUAUUUUCAUAUCUGUUCUACUUAAUGACAUAUAUCCAACUGCAUAUAUUCAUGACUUUGUGUCUCUGUUGUGUACCGGAGUAAUAUUAAUUCUUAGCUAGGACCCAUCUGCGAUCUGCUUGAAAAAAACAGAACCUUUCUUGAUCUGGAAUUUUUGUUGAAAGCCAGGCCAUUUCAUGCAAUAGCAUGGUGAAAAAGCAUGCACGAAAUCAGAAAGUACACUAAGUUGAAAUACCAUAGAUGAAAAAUGUUUCAUUCUACCAGUGUGCCAUCACCCUAAGCGCUGUUGUAAUUGACUUUCUGUGAGUCUUAUGACAAGCCUCUAACAAAUUCUUAUCAGGGACUACUUGCUACUGCUUUUCAUCCAGUUGCAUAGCACAUUGAUUUGAUAUUUAGAACUGGCAAUUAAAUGCAAUCAUCAAGAGUUCAUUUUUCCCUUGGCUCACGUUCAGGUGCAAGUUUGUUCAAUGUUGUGAAUAUUAACAACCUAAAAGUCGCUAUGUAAGAAACGACAACUAUCGUUCUUGUGUGCAUUUUCAUAUAUACAUUCAUUUCUAUUUCUUGUUUGCUUCCUCUUCCAUUAAACAAUAUUGAAAUUCAGCUAGAGCAAGACUCAAAUAUACUCCUACUUCGAUGCUUCUUUUACUUAUUACAGUUUAGUUUGUGACAAUGAGAAACAAGCUGUUGCUGUGAAAAGUCAGUUGCAGCAGCUCGCAAGACCAAUGUAUAGUAAUCCUCCUGUUCACGGCGCCCUCAUUGUUUCUAUCAUUCUUGGUGAUCCAGAGUUGAAGAAAUUAUGGCUGAAAGAAGUAAAAGUAAGUUUAAACUUCACUUCUGCAAUAUUUAGUUGACCUUCGCACUAUUACAAUUUGUUUGAAAAAGUUCUUUAUUUGUUAGAAUCGAAACAUUUUCUUGGGUUAAAAAGAAUUAACUAAAACUAGGAGAUAGAAACACAUGAUCAAAAUGACUAGUACCACCUGUGGAUAUAAUGAAACAAAUGAACAGGAUAGAAAUUAGAUUUUCUGUAUUGGUUGAAUUCUGAAUUACAGUGAGAAAAGAAAUGCAAAGAGCCGUUCGAGAGUGCUGUAACUCUCCCCAAUAUGACUUCACUCAAGCAUCCCCCUUAUUCUAUUUAUAAGAUUAUUGUAACUGUUUUUUUGUCCACCUCAGCCUGCCUCCUACCAGAUUUUGUUUCUACUCUCUCUCUCUCCCUUCUUCUUGAUCCUUCUAGAAUAGUAAUACCUGAUUGGGGUUCUAUCACAAAACUAGCAAUCAGCAUGCCAAAUCUACUCCUUAUUUAAGUGGAUUAAUGAAUAUUUGUAAUUUAGAGACACCCAAGCUGUUGACUCGUGCUGCUGUACAGAAUUAUGCAGGCAAGACAUGAUUCUGUUGGAACUCUUAAAUUGAGGGUCUCGCUGAUUUUAUUGGCCGGGAUGAAGUUCACCUUGAAAGGAAACUGUUAACCAAUACCUCUUUGAAUGCAUAACAACAUUCUCUAAUCGGUACCUUACAGUAAGCUAUUCUUUAUAUCAAGAAAGUACUAAUAGAAAGUUCUUCCUCCAGGGAAUGGCUGAUCGCAUCAUUGGAAUGAGAAGUGCUUUGAGAGAGAACCUAGAAAAAUUAGGUUCGCCUCUUCUGUGGGAGCACAUAACCAAGCAGGUUUUGCAACUUAUCAAUUCCUAGAAUUUUUCCUGUUUCUGUGUAACUACUUGAAAUACCCUCAAUAUGAAUUCUACAAUCAUUUCUGUUAUUGCAAACAGAUCGGCAUGUUUUGCUAUAGUGGGAUGACCCCUGAACAAGUUGAUCGCUUGACAAAGGAAUUUCACAUUUACAUGACUCGUAAUGGCCGGAUUAGGUAAUACAUCUUUUUCUAAAUUUUCUAUUUUUACCUUUUUUUUAUUUGUGCAAAUUUGCCAAUAUGUAACGUUAACGCAGCAUGGCUGGAGUCAAUACGGGCAACAUUGGUUACUUGGCAAAUGCGAUUCACGAGGUCACGAAAUUGGCUUAGGGAGUUGAGAAUUUACUUAUACAUGAGAUUUAGUGUUGCUGAUUCUUAUAGGAAAUCGACUGGGUUUUAUACACAACGUUGUUCCCCAGAUCGUUCAUUAGGCCUUCAAUAAUAAGACAGAUUCAUCAAGAGCUGAUAAUUUUGAGUUCUCUUGAUUCGUUGGACAAAUUUUAUGUAUGCCAUUUGUAGCUAGUGUAGUAAUAAUUCGGUGCCAGAGGUUACAACCUAUCAAGAGAACACCAUUGUUGUAACUGCAUAUAUUUCAACAUUGAAGUUAAAGUUUCCUUCGUUCUGAUAUUCUAUUUUUUGAGUUGAUUAUUGUUGACCCCAAAAAAGGAACCAAUGCAGCCAAUAAUAAGCAGUUUCAUGUAUCUUCCUCCUUGCGCACUUGGAAUACACCGUUAGUCACUCGUGG